GAUGAACGCUGGCGGCGUGCCUAAUACAUGCAAGUCGAGCGAACGGACGAGAAGCUUGCUUCUCUGAUGUUAGCGGCGGACGGGUGAGUAACACGUGGAUAACCUACCUAUAAGACUGGGAUAACUUCGGGAAACCGUAGCUAAUACCGGAUAAUAUUUUGAACCGCAUGGUUCAAAAGUGAAAGACGGUCUUGCUGUCACUUAUAGAUGGAUCCGCGCUGCAUUAGCUAGUUGGUAAGGUAACGGCUUACCAAGGCAACGAUGCAUAGCCGACCUGAGAGGGGGAUCGGCCACACUGGAACUGAGACACGGGCCAGACCCCUACGGGAGGCAGCAGUAGGGAAUCUUCCGCAAUGGGCGAAAGCCUGACGGAGCAACGCCGCGUGAGUGAUGAAGGUCUUCGGAUCGUAAAACUCUGUUAUUAGGGAAGAACAUAUGUGUAAGUAACUGUGCACAUCUUGACGGUACCUAAUCAGAAAGCCACGGCUAACUACGU
RNAcentral lists this ribosomal RNA (496 nucleotides) under uncultured bacterium. RNAcentral describes it as "partial 16S ribosomal RNA". It matches the Rfam family "Bacterial small subunit ribosomal RNA", at positions 28 to 506 of the family's 1533-position model. The record is from RNAcentral.